Paramuricea clavata is the source of this 67-nucleotide non-coding RNA. The record is from the annotation of a GenBank genome assembly. NCBI's taxonomy places the organism in Eukaryota, Metazoa, Cnidaria, Anthozoa, Malacalcyonacea, Plexauridae.
UCUGCAGCUCAGUUGGUGAGAACGCUGGCCCGGAAACGCAGGGCCGCAGGUUCAAUUCCUGCGAGAG